GACGAACGCUGGCGGCGUGCUUAACACAUGCAAGUCGAACGGAAAGGCCCUGCUUUUGUGGGGUGCUCGAGUGGCGAACGGGUGAGUAACACGUGAGUAACCUGCCCUUGACUUUGGGAUAACUUCAGGAAACUGGGGCUAAUACCGGAUAGGAGCUCCUGCUGCCUGGUGGGGGUUUGAAAGUUUCGGCGGUUGGGGAUGGACUCGCGGCUUAUCCGCUUGUUGGUGUGGUAGUGGCUUACCAAGGCUUUGACGGGUAGCCGGCCUGAGAGGGUGACCGGCAACAUUGGGACUGAGAUACGGCCCAGACUCGUAAGGGAGGCAGCAGUGGGGAAUAUUGCACAAUGGGCGGAAGCCUGAUGCAGCAACGCCGCGUGAGGGAUGACGGACUUCGGGUUGUAAACCGCUUACGCCUGUGACGAAGCGUGAGUGAAGGUAAUGUGUAAAGAAGCACCGGCUAACUACGUG
Molecule: ribosomal RNA, 468 nt
Filed under: uncultured bacterium
Lineage: Bacteria
Description: partial 16S ribosomal RNA
Rfam family: Bacterial small subunit ribosomal RNA
Source: RNAcentral